CGGCCUCCUAAGUUUGCUCCUAUGUCUAUGGAUGACAAGACGUCGAAACAAGAGAGAGAUGCCGCCAGAAAAGAGAAGCACUUCUUAAGACAAGCCACUGAGAAUACAUACAUGAAAGAUGUGUUGGACGAGCUCGAGGACAGACCUGAACUUAAUGCAUGUGAUUUGAUGGAUUUAAUCAUGAAAAAAUAUUUAUAUAAUUUGACUUUGUGUAAGGUAAUGGGAGUUUGUAUUAGAAAUAAGAGAUUGAGAUUAUAAGUUAAGGAAUUGUGGUUUUAGAAUUUGGGGUUUGGAAUGGAAAGAAUAGAUUGAGGUUAAAGGGAAGAUGGGUUUGAGGUUUGGAAUAUAUGAAGUAGAAGAUAAGGAAGAUGGGGUUUGGGGUUUCGGAUUUUAGGGAUUUAAACAUAAUCCUCGUAAUUUUCUCGUAAGGUAACGAGGAAAUAACGACGAAAAGAACGUGGGACUCGUUAAUUCCACGUAAGCACAAUUCGUCGUAAAGACCUCGUAACCGGAAAACGGUGACCUUGCUAUUUCCUCGUAAAUAAUAUCGCCUUGCUAUUUCCUCGUAAAUUAACAACCAAUAAAAAAGAAGAGAAGAAAGAUACUAGAAUCAUCGGAGGGAAGAAACAAGGCGAGACCUACGUAAGUCUAGCCUUGUCUCCGCCCACAUGUGUUCCCGUAUCUUUCUCCCCUUCUUUUUUCAAAGCUUUCUAAUUUUAGAAGCAAACUGGUGAGUAAUUAUCUCUGAUUUGAGAAGAAAAUCAGUGAGUUUAUCUUUGAUUUAAGAAGCAAACUGGUGUGUAUUUAUAGAAAAUUUCGAAAGGUUUUACGACCAAUUAGCUUCGUCUCCUUCCUCGUAAAUAAAAAAAGCAGGUCUCGCUAAUUUCUCGUAAGUGAACGAGGAAAUUACGAGGAAACCCAACACGGGCCUCGCGAGUUCCUCGUUAAUUCUACGUAAGCACAAUUCGUCGUAAAGACCUCGUAAUAGGAAAAUGCUUGCCUCGCUAAUUCCUCGUUAAUCAACGAGGAAGUUAUGAGGAAACAAAACGCGGGCCUCGCUAAUUCCUCGUAAGGAAAAACACGGGCCUCGCUAUUUCCUCAUAAAUUUACGAAAAAAUUACGACAAUUACUAAUUUCUUAUAUAACACGUGAGCUUCGCUCUCUUUUUAUAUGUAUAUUCUAACUUUCUUAAAUGUUUUUAGCCAACUCCCGUCUCUUAUACAACUUUACGAGAGGACCCACAAGAAUAAGGCGGGCCAAUUUCUAGAUGGCAAGGCUGAGCAAAUCUUCAACGACUUGGUUGCUCAGGUUGACGACCGCCAGACCCAACUGACUCAGCAGUCCACCGACGGAUUACCCGUCACCUUAUCCACACUUGAAGUGGAUAAUAUUUACAGGGAGAGAAAAAACCAGCUAUGGGAUACAUUUAUGCAGCCAUGGACAGGGCAAAAGAGACAAUCGAAAGGGAUUUCAAGUGGAAUAAAGAGAAGUACGAAGAAGCCUUUGAGAUCAUUGACAAAAGAUGGGAGUGUCAGCUUCACCAUCCUUUGCAUGCUGCUGGGUAUUUCCUAAACCCUUCAAUCCAUUACAAAUAUCACGAUGAUGUACGUUGCGCCGAAGUGGAAGGGGGCUUGUACAAUUGCAUUACUAGGUUGGUUUUUUAAAUUGUGUUUUUGUUUUGUAUUAAUAGGUUGGUACACAUUUUCAGAUGAUAGUUUUGUUUGUGUUUCAUUAAUAGGUUGGUUCCAAGUACAGAGACUCAAGACAAGAUAAUGACAGAGUUGGAUUCUUUCAAGGACGCUUCUGGUAUCUUCGGCCACGACAUGGCCAUCAGGCAAAGAGAUAUCAAAGCACCAGGUAACACAAAUUUGAAUUACUUUAAGAUAAUUGAUCUAAAUAAAUACUAACAAUUUUUUUUAUUUUAAUAGCUGAAUGGUGGUCUUGUUAUGGAUCUUCUGCUCCAAAUUUGAGAAGCUUUGCUGUUAAGAUCCUUAGUCUGACUUGUAGUGCUACUGGUUGUGAAAGAAAUUGGAGUGUUUUCCAACUUGUAAGACUUUUAAUCAUUUUUAUUGUAUAUUUGUAAGUGAUUUUUUUUUAACUUAUAAGUGUUAAACUUGAUUUGUAACAGCUUCAUACAAAGAAGAGAAAUCGCCUAGCACAACAUCGGCUGAACAACAUGGUUUUUGUGAAAUACAACAGAGCUCUAAAACGCAGAAGCUUGAGAAGUGUGUGCGCCACCAGAGAUCCUAUUCUUUUGGAUGAAAUAGAUGACAGCAAUGAGUGGUUGAUUGGAAGAAUGGAUGGAGAUUCAUCUGAUAAUGAUGAUUUGGUGUGGGGAGAUGAUGAUUUGUCAUGGAAUGUUGUGAGCCAAGCUAUGGGUGUUGAAGAACCUAGCUAUUCUACUAGAGGAGUUGGAGCAAAAGGUGCAAGUUCAUCUAAAACAGAUAAAGGAAAAGGUAUUGCUAGCUCAAACCAGAAGCAAUCAUCUGCGCCUGGUAUGAGAUUGGUUGAUGAAGAUGAUGAGUUGGAAGAAGAUUUAGAUGAAGAUGACCUUGGGUAUGAAGAUGUUGAGUACGAUGAUGAAGAUGACAAUAAUGGUGUUUCUGAAGAUGAAUUUUAGGUAUUGGUUUUGAGUUAUUUAUUAUGAUAUUAUCUUUUGGUUUCUACAUUUGAGACUUUGUUUUUGGGUUUUCUUUUUCAAUAAUUUUGUUUUGGUUUAACUUAUCUUCAAAUAAUAAAGUUGCAUCUUAUUUAAAUUUAGUGUAUCAAUCAUUGCAUAAGUGUUUUCUACGUUUCUUCUACAAAACAAGACGUAAAUAAAAUAACGUAACGUAAAUGUUCUUCAAGGCGAGCGCCAUAUUGCGCCAUGGCGCGAGGCGCAAGGCUCGGCACGUCUCGCCUUGGUGCGCCAUGCGCCAUUUUAAACACAGGACCUGAAGAGGUGGGUUUGGAAGGAAAUUUUACUUUGCAUCUGAUAUGAGUGAGUAGCUGUUUUUAAUUUGUGUGUGUGAAUAAUAUAUAAACAGAUCAGAGACUGGCAUGGUGCUGAGAGCAAGGAACAGAGGAAGUUCAUAGCACAGUAUGAAAGACAACAAGAGGUUGAAGAAGAACUCUUUGCCCGAGCACCUCGC
RNAcentral lists this long non-coding RNA (3131 nucleotides) under Brassica napus (rape). RNAcentral's name for it is "long non-coding RNA (BNAP_LNC004805)". Lineage: Eukaryota; Viridiplantae; Streptophyta; Magnoliopsida; Brassicales; Brassicaceae. The record is from RNAcentral.